CCCACAUGUUGUGGGAGGGACCCAGGGAGAGGUAAUUGAAUCAUGGGGACCGGUAUUUCCCAUGCUAUUCUCAUGAUAAUGAAUAAGUCUCAUGAGAUCUGAUGGGUUUAUCAGGGGUUUCUGCUUUUGCUUCUUCCUCAUCUUCUCUUGCCGCCACCAUGUAAGAAGUGCCUUUUGCCUCCUGCCAUGAUUCUGAGGCCUCCCCAGCCAUGUGGAACUGUAAGUCCAAUUAAGCCUUUUUCUUCCCAGUCUUGGGUAUGUUUUUUCAGCAG
This 272-nucleotide long non-coding RNA is filed under the name Homo sapiens (human). RNAcentral's name for it is "LHRI_LNC1011.1". Lineage: Eukaryota; Metazoa; Chordata; Mammalia; Primates; Hominidae. The record is from RNAcentral.